GCACUUCCGGUCACGCGGGGUCGAGCGCGGCUCCCGCAGGGGGCGUGCGUGGGGGCAAAGGAAGCUCCGCGCGUGCGGGGGAGCCUUUCGGCCCCGGCCCGCCCCGGGGGACUUCAGUGUCCCAUGCCUGGGGACCGCAGCGCCCUCUGACCCGAGACCCCAACCCCGGGGACCCCGGUGCCCCCUGCCCCGAGACCCCGGUCCCACCCCUGGGGACCCCAUCGCCCCCUGCCUCCAGACCCCAGCCACACCCCUGGGGGCCGCAGCGCCCCCUGCCCCGAGACCCCGGCCCCACCCUGAGGGACCCUGCUGCUCCACCCCUGGGCACCGCAGCUCCCGCUGCCCUGGAGACGCCGGCCCCACCCCUGGGGACCCCGGCGCCCUCUGCCCCUUGAGACGUGCGCGAGGUCCCGCGGCCCUGAGCGCGCGCGCCCCGUCCCGAAACCCGGCUCCCCUUCCUCAUCCGACCAUGAUUCAGGGAGCGGCUGCUGGCUGCCAGACCUGCCCUCGGCACCCUCCCCAGGCCCCACGACGAUGGAGGGAGGCGAUGACCCCCUACGGGGUCUCGUGGAGGCGUCCCUCUGGCCAGCGUGCUGUGAGACUCAGACGAGGUGGGGCGAUCCCUGGCCGCUGAUGGAUCGCCCAGACUGGAACCAGUGGGCCCGGGGUCCACAGCUCACCGGCCCUGCUUCCUGGGCCACUAGUGCGGGCAGGGCCAACGCUGGGUAAGCGUCGGGGAGGGUACCCCGGAAUGGGGGAGGACGAGGACUGAAGGAGCCAGUGGGCCGGGUACCUGAAGGUUUUCGAAGGCACCAGGCUCGCCCCUCAACAGGACCUGCCCUCCAUGAGGUUGUCUCUGCCCAAAUCUCCCCCUCAGCUGACUGCAGUCCUCCAGAGGCCAAGCAGAGAGCUGCUACCCGUGGGCCCCUUGGUUUCCUCCCCUCUCGAAGGGUCUCCUUCCCACAGCCCCUGGGAGCCUGUCUUUCCUCUGGUCCUGUGACAGGCAGAAUCCCCAAACCUCAUCCCGCCCAGGUCACUGAGUGAUACAGGCAUGCGGAGGCCCCACGCUCUGCCCAGUUCAGUGUCUCCCAGUUCUAGAGGUUGGGAAGUCCAAGAUCAAGGCGUUGGCAGAUCCAUUGUCUGAGAGAGCCUCUCCCUGCCCCAGUCUCUCCCUCGGAUUUCUGCAUCUGCCCAGGCCCUGAGUCCAUCCUUGCCUCCUGCCUGGCAGUGCAGGGCAGCCUAGGGGAAAGGGCGGACAGGAGGAGCAGAGAUGACAAGCAGAAAGAAACAGCCAGGAGUGGGGUCUGGCCUGCAGACAGACGAGGCACGAGGGUUUUAGCAAAAAUCCCAUCAAGUCGGUUUAGCCAGAAUCUCCAUCCUCGAUAUUUGAUCACCCUCCAUAUCUGAUCGAAGUCUCCCCACACCAUCCCCAGGAGAGUUCUGGUCACCCUGGCCUGCCUUCAGCAAGAAUCCAGUAGGGUCUGUUUAACCAGAGUCCCCCAAACCCUACCCCUGAUGUUUCUCUUAGUGAUUUUCCAUCCGCUGACUUCCUCCCACCUGCUCCUUGGCUGUGAAUCCACACUCGUCCUUGCCGUAUGUGGAAUUGAGUCCAGUUCUAUUCUGAAGUCUCUUUUCCCCUAUUGCAUUAGAUCUUAAAUAAAAUCUGCUUUAGC
This is a long non-coding RNA of Equus asinus (donkey), 1673 nucleotides long. NCBI's taxonomy places the organism in Eukaryota, Metazoa, Chordata, Mammalia, Perissodactyla, Equidae. The record is from Ensembl.